Long non-coding RNA from Acinonyx jubatus (cheetah), 1548 nucleotides. RefSeq lists it as uncharacterized. The record is from RefSeq and is a predicted model, not a curated record. The transcript has 2 exons. Lineage: Eukaryota; Metazoa; Chordata; Mammalia; Carnivora; Felidae.
GUUAUUGCUGUCAAAGAGUAAAACAGAUUAUUAAAGAAGUAUUUGCUUUUGUAUUAAUCUUGUAGGCAGUUUCAGUAUAAGAACUUAAGAGAUUGACACAUACAAAUACUUUAGGAAAAAGGGAAAACAGAUUUACAACUAACCAGAUAAAAACCACUAGGCAAAGCUGAACUGCACAUUUAGGUCGCAAAAGCAAUUGCUAGGCAGUUUAUGCUACAAUAAUCGAAGUAGUUGCUUAUUGUAAAACACUGCCCUAGAGACAAGAUCAAACAGCUAAUUAAUGACAGUCCCUUAAGAAAAUAGUUUACCUUAAAUAUUUAAUUUGAUUUUGUAGCUCUUUGGGUAUCAAAUGAAAACUUGUUUAAGUGCUCUAACUUCAGCUUUCUGAUCUACAACUGCUUCCUGCUGCAUGAGGUGAAGAUAAUAAUUGCAUAACACCUCAGGAUUCUUCAAGCUGCUGCUGAGGUCUUCGAAGGUCUAUUUGCAUGUCUUUCAACCAGUCACAUCAAUUUGUUUUUGUCAGAUGGCAUUGAGAAAAAGAAACCUGAAAAAGAGAAGGGAAUUUUAAAAACUGGGAGCCCUAGUCAGCCAUGGAGCAAGAUAAGGAGAUGGAGACUGUACCAACACCAUUGCCACCCUUGCCAACGACCACAGGACUCUAACAGGUUAGCUGACGGCAACGGUGGCAUGGGGGGUGGAGGCGGGAGUGUGGCAGGGCUCCCACUCUCGGCCAACUUCCUGCUGAACUGAACAACUGAGAGGAGUAGAUGUGAAAUCACAUCAUAAAGUUUCUUAUAGUUUUCAUAGGGUAUCUAAUAUACAAGCGAAGGACAGUAGUCAAGUUAAAAAAAUUCAGUUCAGAUUCAGCUCAAAAAUUAACCCCUCAAAAUUAAAAAAAUGUUGUGUCUUUAUCUCCAUGUCUACAGAAAUAUUUAUAUGGGGAGCAAGUUUACAAUGUUUUAAAACUCUUUUUCAUUCUACAUUAAAUGUGAACUUGACAAAAAGCCUUUUUUUUUUUUUUUUUUUUACAUUGAAAAUGAAAUGACAGCUUUUAAAGUUUUAGUAACAAGCCCUGUCCAAAAGGACUGUCUAGAUGGGCUGGCCCUGCCUGUGGAGUGCUGUGAUAGAAAUUUUGCAAAAGAGAAAAAUCAUCAUUUACCUACUCUGUCCUAAUCAAUGAGAAGACCUCUAAAGACCAGCGUAUUUAAAUAUUACAGGCCAACAUUAAAGAUGCACAAUUAACAACUUUCUCUCAGGGAUGGGAAAUUAUUUUAUAAAUGUGCAAGUGAAGAAUCACAUCAUUACUACAGAGCGAGGAAGAAAGGAGACACCAUACUGAACAGUGAGAGUUUUUUCAACGUUCCUUAAAGAUUUCCUACGUGGGUUUUGUUAGAUUGGAAAACUGUGGUUUUAAUGGUUUUACUGUAUUGACUAAAAUUCAAACGUAAAGCCUGAGAGAGGACGCUUACCUACAUUUAAGAGAGUCAUCGUUUUCCUCCUGGGGAGCUCACUCAUAAGAUCUCCAGAUCCAAAUCCAUCCACAAAUAC